CAUAUAAUGUAUAUAUAUUAUGUAUGUAUAAGUAUGUAUAUAUGCAUAUAAUGUAUAUAUUAUGUAUGUAUAAGUAUGUAUAUAUGCAUAUAUAUAUAUAUGUAUAUAUAAGGCAUGAAGCAGAUCGUGGUAACCCAUCCAGCCUCUCCCAGCAUGGAAAACAAAUGCAAAAUGAUAAUGAUGAGGAUAUAACGUAUAAAGAUACAUACAUAUAUCACACACACACACACAUACGCAUGCACACACACACACAUACGCACACACACACACAUUUGUGUGAUCAUGUAUUCAUACACACAUACAUUCUCACCCACACACACAUACACAAGCACUGCACAUUGGACAGUCAUGAUAGCAAUGUCUUGAAGAAGGGCUCAGAUAUUUGCCGUGAGCCUUUUUCCAUUUUUUUUUUUGUUGUUUUUAAUUUAACCUUUUUUAAUUUUCUUUUUUUAAAAUAAUUUUUAAGGGAUUAACAAAUUAUGAAAUAAAACAGAAUAAAUGAGGAAAAAAAAACAAAAAAAAAAAAAACAGACAUUCUAAAUGUCCUUUUAUAGAAAAACAAUUCGACGUAAAUUGUAUACAUUUUUUUGAUUAGUAUUUUUGCUUUUAUAUAAUUCUUUUGUUUUUCUUUCUGUCGUCAUUUUAAUAAAAUUUCCGGAAAAAAUGUUUGAAAUUGCAAACACGACAUUUUUAUAUUAAAAAUAUAAUAAUAAAAUAAACAAAUAUACAACUAU
This 734-nucleotide long non-coding RNA is filed under the name Octopus vulgaris (common octopus). Lineage: Eukaryota; Metazoa; Mollusca; Cephalopoda; Octopoda; Octopodidae. The record is from RNAcentral.